GAUGAAGAACGUAGCGAAAUGCGAUAAUUAAUGUGAAUUGCAGAAUUCCGUGAAUCAUCGAGUCUUUGAACGCACAUUGCGCCUCAUGGCAUUCCGUGAGGCAUGCCCAUCUCAGCGUUAGAAAAUAUUCUCAAAUUUUAGUUUUGUGCUAAAAUUUGGAUCAUGUCAAGGAAGCUAUUACUAUUAUUGUGAUCGCUCUUUGGAAAUUGAUAGGUCUUUGAGUUGCUACUCAUAGAACGUGAUGAAUCUUUCUUCGUUCUAUUGUAAUUCACUCUGGUAGUCCUAAAACUUGUAUGCCUGUGGCAUAUCUUGUAAUUUGACCUGAGAUUGGGUAGGGAUGCCCGCUGAACUUAAGCAUAUCAAUAAGCGGAGGA
This 374-nucleotide unclassified non-coding RNA is filed under the name soil metagenome. RNAcentral describes it as "partial internal transcribed spacer 1". The stretch from base 1 to 120 matches the Rfam family "5.8S ribosomal RNA", at positions 35 to 154 of the family's 154-position model. The record is from RNAcentral.